This 182-nucleotide ribosomal RNA is filed under the name uncultured bacterium. Its description in RNAcentral is "partial 16S ribosomal RNA". It matches the Rfam family "Bacterial small subunit ribosomal RNA", at positions 1319 to 1500 of the family's 1533-position model. The record is from RNAcentral.
CAUGAAGUCGGAAUUGCUAGUAAUCGCAGAUCAGCAUGCUGUGGUGAAUACGUUCCCGGGCCUUGUACACACCGCCCGUCACACCAUGGGAGUCGGUAACACCCAAAGUUGGUAGUCUAACCGCAAGGAGGACGCCGCCUAAGGUGGGAUUGAUGACUGGGGUGAAGUCGUAACAAGGUAAC